GAUGAACGCUGGCGGCGUGCCUAAUACAUGCAAGUAGAACGCUGAAGGAAGGAGCUUGCUCUUUCCGGAUGAGUUGCGAACGGGUGAGUAACGCGUAGGUAACCUGCCUGGUAGCGGGGGAUAACUAUUGGAAACGAUAGCUAAUACCGCAUAACAGUAGAUGUUGCAUGAUAUCUACUUAAAAGGUGCAAUUGCACCACUACCAGAUGGACCUGCGUUGUAUUAGCUAGUUGGUGAGGUAACGGCUCACCAAGGCGACGAUACAUAGCCGACCUGAGAGGGUGAUAGGCCACACUGGGACGGAGACACGGCCCAGACUCCUACGGGAGGCAGCAGUAGGGAAUAUUCGGCAAUGGACGGAAGUCUGACCGAGCAACGCCGCGUGAGUGAAGAAGGUUUUAGGAUCGUAAAGCUCUGUUGUAAGAGAAGAACGAGUGUGAGAGUGGAAAGUUCACACUGUGACGGUAUCUUACCAGAAAGGGACGGCUAACUACGUG
Molecule: ribosomal RNA, 497 nt
Filed under: uncultured bacterium
Lineage: Bacteria
Description: partial 16S ribosomal RNA
Rfam family: Bacterial small subunit ribosomal RNA
Source: RNAcentral